UACGUAGGGUGCAAGCGUUGUCCGGAAUUAUUGGGCGUAAAGAGCUCGUAGGCGGUUUGUCGCGUCGACUGUGAAAACCUGGGGCUUAACUCUGGGCCUGCAGUCGAUACGGGCAGACUUGAGUUCGGUAGGGGAGACUGGAAUUCCUGGUGUAGCGGUGAAAUGCGCAGAUAUCAGGAGGAACACCGGUGGCGAAGGCGGGUCUCUGGGCCGAUACUGACGCUGAGGAGCGAAAGCGUGGGGAGCGAACAGG
RNAcentral lists this ribosomal RNA (253 nucleotides) under uncultured bacterium. RNAcentral's name for it is "partial 16S ribosomal RNA". It matches the Rfam family "Bacterial small subunit ribosomal RNA", at positions 524 to 776 of the family's 1533-position model. The record is from RNAcentral.